GACGAACGCUGGCGGCGCGCUUAGCACAUGCAAGUCGAACGGAAAGGCCUGCUUUCCCUUGUGGAUUGCGGGUACUCGAGUGGCGAACGGGUGAGUAACACGUGAGUGAUCUGCCCCCAACUUGGGUAUAAGCCUGGGAAACUGGGUCUAAUUCCCGAUAGGACUGCAGGGUGGUGCCUGUGGUGGAAAACGAUUUUCUAGUGGUUGGGGAUGAGCUCGCGGCCUAUCAGCUUGUUGGUGGGGUAAUGGCCUACCAAGGCGGCGACGGGUAGCCGGCCUGAGAGGGUGGACGGCCACAUUGGGACUGAGAUACGGCCCAGACUCCUACGGGAGGCAGCAGUGGGGAAUAUUGCACAAUGGGCGGAAGCCUGAUGCAGCGACGCCGCGUGGGGGAUGACGGCCUUCGGGUUGUAAACUCCUUUCGACCGCGAGGAAGCCACCUGGUUGGAAGGGUGGUGACGGUAGUGGUAGAAGAAGCACCGGCUAACUACGUG
RNAcentral lists this ribosomal RNA (494 nucleotides) under uncultured bacterium. RNAcentral describes it as "partial 16S ribosomal RNA". It matches the Rfam family "Bacterial small subunit ribosomal RNA", at positions 28 to 507 of the family's 1533-position model. The record is from RNAcentral.